This is a non-coding RNA of Pelobates cultripes (western spadefoot toad), 487 nucleotides long. The record is from the annotation of a GenBank genome assembly. NCBI's taxonomy places the organism in Eukaryota, Metazoa, Chordata, Amphibia, Anura, Pelobatidae.
GUUUGCAUAAUGCUUUCCCCUUUUUGCUGCCCACAAAAAUGACAAAUUCUCUUAAGGUUCUCCAUUUAGCAAGCUUCUGUGCAUUUUAGGUUGAGACUUAUGAAAAGGAGAUCUUUGGACAUAACUCAAAACAGGAUUUAUUUUGUCCAUAAGGGAUAAUGAAGGAAAGUCAAAAGAAUUUGAAGUUCAGGAAACCAUAUCCUCCCAGCCCAGGGUAAAGUGAUCAUCAUGACCCCCAUACAAAGUAGUCUUACUUUGGCAAUUAGAAGUAGAGGAGGAAAGAUGUAUGUUUGCAGUGCCAUUUCUACAGAGUCUUCAAAAAGGCAAAGGUAGUAAAAUACAUGUGCCCAUCUGUUAUGUCACAAGAGGUUUUGGAUUUGGAACUCAACUGCAGCUUGUAAAACUCCUUAAUUACAAUAGCAAAAAGAGGAGAAAUCCUUUAAAUUAAUAAGGUUACUAUAGCCUUAAAGCGAGGUGGAGGUUGCAG